ACUGGGUGUGGUGGUGCAUGCCUGUAAUCCCAGCAACUCAGGAGGCUGAGGCAGGACUGUGAGUUCAAAGCCAGCUUUAGCAACAUAGCAAGGCCUUAACCAACUUAGUGAGAUCCUGUCUCUA
RNAcentral lists this small RNA (124 nucleotides) under Marmota monax (woodchuck). The record is from RNAcentral. Lineage: Eukaryota; Metazoa; Chordata; Mammalia; Rodentia; Sciuridae.